Non-coding RNA from Podarcis lilfordi (Lilford's wall lizard), 74 nucleotides. Lineage: Eukaryota; Metazoa; Chordata; Lepidosauria; Squamata; Lacertidae. The record is from the annotation of a GenBank genome assembly.
GGAAGGGCCAUAGCCCAGUGGUAGAGCAUCUGCUUUGCAUACAGAAGGCCCAGAUUCUGUCCCAGGUGUCUCCA